AAAGUCGUAACAAGGUUUCCGUAGGUGAACCUGCGGAAGGAUCAUUACUGAAGUGGGCGGGCAACCGCUCCGCUUGAGAUAGAACCCUUGCAUUUUGAGUACCAUUCGUUUCCUCGGCAGGCUCGCCUGCCAGUGGGACACUUCUAAACCUUUUGUGUAUGCAGUAAACGUCUAAAACAAACAAAAAUCAAAACUUUCAACAACGGAUCUCUUGGUUCUG
This 220-nucleotide unclassified non-coding RNA is filed under the name Ascomycota sp. RNAcentral describes it as "partial contains small subunit ribosomal RNA, internal transcribed spacer 1, and 5.8S ribosomal RNA". The stretch from base 1 to 47 matches the Rfam family "Eukaryotic small subunit ribosomal RNA", at positions 1785 to 1831 of the family's 1831-position model. The record is from RNAcentral. Lineage: Eukaryota; Fungi; Ascomycota.